UACGAUGAAGCAUUUCCUCCUGCAACUAUUACUUGGAUACAUAAUGGAAUCCAGAGAUCUGUCAAUGACCGAGAUUUCGCUUUGUACAAGGGUAUUGGAGUUGAGGGGUCAAUAUCCUCUACUCUUAAAAUCAAGUCGCUAACUGAUGAACUUGUUGGAAACUAUGUCUGCAAGGCUGCAAAUAAACUUGGGUCUGCAGACACAGGAUUUAAGGUUGUAAGAGGAUAUCAGACUAACUGUGACGUAGGAAACUGUGAUUACAAUUCCUACUCAAGAGUUCUUCCAUCCUUCAUCCUUACUUCCUUCCUUCUGUCUCCUCUUUUCUUCUAAUCAUCCCUUCCCUUUCUACUUCCUUCCUUCUGUCUCCUCUUUUCUACUAAUCAUCCCUUCCCUUCCUAUUUACUUCCUUCCUUCUUACUCCUCGUUUCUUAUAAUCAUUCCUUCCCUUCCCUUUCUACUUGCUUCCUUCUGUCUUCUCUUUUCUACUAAUCAUUCCUUCCAUUACCUUUUUACUUCCUUCCUUCUGUGUCCGCUUUUCUACUAAUCAUUCCUUCCUUUCCCUUUCUAAUGCCUUCCUUCUCUCUCCUCUUUUUUACUAAUCAUUCCUUCCCUUCCCUUCUCUAUAUUAAAGCAUUCCAUACAUUAUCCUACAUCCUUAUGCACUUCCUUCUUCCUUUCAUUCUCAAGUCAAUUUCACUUAUCCCCCUUCAACCCUUUCUCAAGAACAUUUUUGAAACAAGAGAAUAAAAUCCAAAAUAAAAUACAUGAUCCAACAUGAAAGACUGCUGUAUAAGUGAUACAAAUCUAAAAUGAUAUCCAGUGAACAAAAGACGACAUUUAGUGACGAAAUUAUAAAUAUAUGUGAAAUCAGCAAUCAGUGUCUGAUUUCUUAGCUGUGGUUCUUUGUACAUUGUUGUUUAAAUAUACAAUUGAUAAAAAGCUUCAA
Long non-coding RNA from Eurytemora carolleeae, 946 nucleotides. RefSeq lists it as uncharacterized. Lineage: Eukaryota; Metazoa; Arthropoda; Copepoda; Calanoida; Temoridae. The record is from RefSeq and is a predicted model, not a curated record. The transcript has 4 exons.